This 1201-nucleotide long non-coding RNA is filed under the name Prunus persica (peach). RNAcentral's name for it is "long non-coding RNA (PPER_LNC008085)". The record is from RNAcentral. Lineage: Eukaryota; Viridiplantae; Streptophyta; Magnoliopsida; Rosales; Rosaceae.
UUCACACCAACUGCCAGAAUAUGUCAGCCAAACAUUCACCAGUUCUGGUUCUCCAGUCCACAAGAUAUCAGAGCAGUUACUAACUAUUUACAAGAAUUUAAGUAUUUUACAACAAAAUCCUACAUUUCGUGGGUGGCGCGGGAGCUAGGAGUGGCCCGUGGUGGAUUCCUGUGCACUUCUACUGCCUGGGGGCGAAAAAAAACAAUUUGAAAGUGUGAGUGGACAAAAAAUAACGUUCUCAAAACAAUUUAUAAACAUAGUAACCCCCGUUGUAAAAAUGAAUAGGUAUGUAAAUCUAAAGUUCGACUGUAUUCAAAUACAAAGCGUUCAAAUAAACAUGUAUAUGUAUACGUAUCUAUACAGAUGUGAACACAUGCACGAAUAUCGAGAAAACUGGUAUAAAAUGACUGAAAGCAAUAAUUACAUAAAAGCACUGAAAUUCUUUUAAAACUACCACCUAAAUGUACCCCUGUAAAUCCGUCAAUUCCCCUGGCAGGUCUCGGCGACACACAGUCUAUCCGAGCCGCAAACUAGCAGGAUUCAGGGGACUAUGGUCAGCCUGAUCCGCCGACAGGUCUCGAUGACACCAAGUCGACUCGAGCUGCUCUGGCAAGAUAUAGGGGACUGUAGUCAGCUUGAUCCGCAAUCCUGGCAGGUCUCGGGGACACAGAGUCAGCCGAGCCACAAAUCCUGGCAGGUCUCGGGACACCAAGUCUGCCGAGCUGCAAAUCCUGGCACUCACGGUCUGAGCGUCCCCGAAACUCGUGAGGCAAUGUCAAGUGCACUGACAGAACUGUAAACAGACUGGAUGUCCGUAGACAUCGGUCCAUCUGAGGGUAAUCACCAAAUAAAAAUGGGUACGUGGUGGUUUUAAAAAUAAAUAACUUUAGGAAAAUUUGAUUAAUAACUGUAAUCUCGCAUUAUGCUGUUAUCUCAUUUGAUUUAGACCUCAAACUCUGUUUCUAUAACUUUUAGCAUGUGACUGAGCAGCGUGAAAUUAUAGAAAUAUCACGGUACUAAUCAAGCUCGGAAACUUUCAAUAAAACUUAUUCAAAAUCAAAUAAUAAAAUUCAUGCAUAUAAACUUAUUUAUAAAAGCGUUUGUAUAAACUUAUUUAUAGAAAAUCAUUUAUGAAAGAAAGGUCCACUCACUGCUGGUCCGAGCUAGCUGGACCCUUUGAAGGUCCCUCCUGGGGUUCUGC